UGCAGCUCUUACCGGUGAAAUGUGUUGUUUCUUGACUUCUUGUCUUCUUGAAGGAAAUAAUUCAGUCAAGAGACCAGAAAGCAAGAAAAUGCGGUGAGGCAAAAAAUACGCUCUCCAGACCGUAGAGACGCUUGUGGGGUAAGCUGAACAAACCCGGCUAUUAGGGUUAGAUUGGUCUUUAUUUUUUCUUAAGAGGCAGGAAGUCCUGCCCUGCGUCUUACGUCCUUUGACCGACAGGUUGAUUGACAGCUCUGGGUUGUAUCAACUUUUUCUCAGCGCGCAGGCACCUCAGCUGGAAGUACCCAAGCGAAGCCCACAGGUGGGCCAGAGCCGCAGUGCUAAUGUUAGUCUAAUGAGGUGGGGAUGCUAGGUCUUCGGACCCUGCGCGUGCCCUGUAGUCACGGGAGCCCCCGAGCCAGGUCAGGUGUCCUUGACCUGGAACUGGGACCUACGGAGGGCUUAGCGGCUGGCCAGGGGGUCGUCUUCCUCGGUGACGGCCUGGCCCCCUUCUGCCUCUGUCUGCCUAGCCGCCUCCUAACACGGCCACUCGAAUUCAAGAUCAUCUUUGAUAAGGUUAACCUGCUACUGCCGCCUUGCAACAGAAUUUUAACCACCUGAGGCCUCUCACUGCACCCAGUUCAGCUUAAGUCGGACCCAGAAUGAGCCCAGACGAGAAGCUGCGGAGGAUCCCGGAGGGCCCUGGGCUCGCCUGCCGGCGGCGAGGGAGGAAGCCGUCCGCGAGCGCGGGAAACCGCGAGUCCCGCGCCCACCAGGGCCUCAAUUGCUUAGUCUGAGUUGGGUGGAAACCCAUUGUCUCCACACACCAGUACCUACUGGGAAACUCCUCAGGCUUCCUCAUUCGCCCCCCAGGAUGUUUAACGACACCACGUGCUUCAAUGCAAACAUACAGUCAGAGCAAGUAAACAUGCUUCUGCCCUUUUCUGAAUAAGUAUUUGUCAGGUUUUACAUGUCUUUUAAUGUCAGAAGUGCCAGGUAGGAUUGUGCCUCUAAUGUCUUCAUCUUUAAUUUGCUUGUUUUCUAUAACUCCUAUCUGUCUUACUAUUAGCCUAAAGACCAAUGUGUAGCAAAUUAGUCUGCUGUUAAGAUUCAUCCCAGAUCCUCCAGAGCUGAACCUGUAUUUUCCUUUCUUACUCUUGAACACAUUCACAGCACAUAGGGGGAACUAAAGAAUAGAAACUUAUUGGUCUAGGAGCUUUUUAUUAACCCUUAUUUUCUCACUUUCUUUUUUCUUUCUACUACUUUUAUUUUAAAAAUGUGCAUUGGAAUA
Manis pentadactyla (Chinese pangolin) is the source of this 1288-nucleotide long non-coding RNA. RefSeq lists it as uncharacterized. The record is from RefSeq and is a predicted model, not a curated record. NCBI's taxonomy places the organism in Eukaryota, Metazoa, Chordata, Mammalia, Pholidota, Manidae. The transcript has 3 exons.